ACGUAGUUAAGGUGUCAAAGAAUCUCUUAAGGUGAGUUUGAUCAUGUAUUACAACAGAUUUCUGUCACGAAACGGUCUGAGCCGCCUUGACUCUGCAUUAUGUCAGUUGUUCAAAUGUUGUAUUUUCCUUUUUUAAAUUAUUAUUAUUCGAUUUACAUUUCACACACUCAUUUUCUGCAUAGUCGGCUCACAUUAUUAAAUAAAUGUCCCAUAACAUCUUUAAGCAAAUAUAUUUUGACUUUAAUUAGAGCUUUUUGUAUUUCUUUCUGAUAUUUUUCUCCACGCGGCUGUCAGGGGUUUGAUCAUUUUGCUUAAAGUCCACACAGUCUCAUAAAACCAUCUGCAUGUUUGUUGUUUGAAGUUAUUGGAGGUUCGUACAGUCACAAGAAGACAUUCUCAUCUUCCAUCGUCUCUACUCCCUCUCAUUACUUUUCCUUGUGGGGCUCAUGUCCUUACACCCUCCUAUUCCUCUUUUAUUUUUUAUGUUCUUACUGUUAAUACCCUAUGACUGCAAGGAUUAUUUCCAAACCUCCUCAACUUUGUGAUUCACACUCUGAGGAAAAUAUGGGUAAAUGUCUAGCAAGUCUCAUAGUGACAAUUUUUAAUCUCAAAGUGAAAAAAAGAGGUAAUGUAUUUUGACUUAAACCUCAUGAAGAUGUUCAACAUUGAUUACUUAUUGUGUUCGGGUAAUGCUGCUCUGUCAUUUAUUUGGAAUUUUUCUAAAUCAUUGUCAGAUGGUGUAAAACAGUGAUGCAUCCUCCACAGCUUUGUCAUGCUUUUUUUUCCCAAGGAAGCUCUUUGUAACUCUUCUGGGUAACUUUAAACCUCAACAGAUUCAAAUUAAAUCUUUGUCCAAAAUUCUUGAUAUUAUGCAUCAGCUGUAACAACUGGAGCUCAUGCAUGCUUUUGUUUUUGUUUUGUUUUUUUUCGUUGGAAAAAAAGGACUGUUGCCAGUACGCUGGGACUAAUGAAAUUAAUACAUGGUCUCCAAAAUUUAGGCGAAUGUGUUGGAUUGGAUUACAAAAAGAAAAAUAUCUAAUAAAUAAAAAUAACUCCAUAAAGGAGCCAAGAAGCACAAACCAUUGAGAAUCCAACCACCUAUCAAAUAUUGACUUUGUAUUUUGAGAGAAACUUCCAUAACAGCCAGAAAUGUUUUUUGAGUUUCAGCAUCUGAGACCCACCACAGCUCAAGGCAUUUUGGCAGUGCUGCUCUGUUCAGCUGUGGGGUUCGGAUCAGCAUCCUGAUCCGAACUCCCCAUGCUGAAACUUUCACAAGCUUCCUGACCGGGGGGACUUUCCUAUCUGUUGUUUAAAUGCCCAAGUUUAAAAUCUCUCCCUGCUUGCUGUUCCCCUGGCAGCCAGAGGAGGUUUGAAGUUUUUGUUUGAGUAGACUAAAUCUGCAAAGUGAGCGUGUGUUUACUUGGCAAUCCUCUCUAUUAAUCAAGCCAAGCCCCAGUGUAUUACACCAAGCCAGUGUUGAUCAGAGUCUAUUAGCUGCCCUUGCCUCAUUUCCCAAAGACAAACACAAGCUUAGCCACGGCUUUGAAGACGCAAACAAUUCAAAACUCCACAUUGUGUUGUAUAACAGCGAGGGAGCCAUGAACAGGGAUUGUAACGAGUUGUUUGUCUUGUCCCAGAAUUCCAAUCAGUAGCAGAAUUAAAGGUGCAUGUUGGCUGGAACAGCUUGUUUCCCAAAGCUGUCUAUUUACACUAUAAUGGGAACUUUUUUUUUUUUUUAAGAACUUGUCAGUCUUUUUCUCCUUUAAAAUUCAGUUUAAUGAACAGAAAUAUACUGACUGGCAAUAAUGAUCCCUUUUUGUUUCUGUUAUUUACCUGUACUAAAUCAAUGUCAUGUAUUAUUGAGCAUGUAUCAGCAGCAGGUGGUUGUAAUGACCUAAGAUGUGCUGCAAUCCAGGACAAGCGAGAAAUUUAGUUUUGCUCUGCCAUCUGUAUAAUAAUUAGGAAUAAAUAAAGGGCUAAGUGUGUUAUACCAUCUCCUCUUAAGUAUCUUCAUUAUUUUGCCUUUCCUUAAUAGAAGUAAUGUUCAAAUUCAAGAAGACAUUAUCAGGAAAUGGAAAACAAAAAGAAAAAGUAACAGAGCAAGCGAUAAGUGAGGAGUAAACAUUGGUAUGACUUUUUACUGGCUGGAAAGAUCUUAGAGAAGAGUCAGAAUGCAAGAUACAUGUUAAAUUAUGUAGUACUGAAAGCAUAGGGGCUUUGUUGUGGAGAGAGGCUCAACUCUGAUGCAUCAGAAAAAUUUGCUUCUCAUCCUGCUCCUCAAUGUGAUGCUGUUGAAUUGAAACCAAGCCAGCUGGUAAUAUGCUGCUUCUCUGAAAUUUAGCAGUCGAAUCGAUAGCAUGAUAUGGGGUCCUCUGUCACUUGAACAUGGAUCAAUAACGGAAUUGGCUGCAGACCUUUUGAAGAACAACAACUCUACAGCUUCAUUUUCUCUUGUCAAUUCACUGCAACUCUGAUUGAUUACUCAGGCACGAGUGGCUGGAUGGAUCCUCUAGUUACUUUACAUCCUUGUUGCAGUUAUCUGCUGCUGCCUACUGUACUCUCUGUGUAUGUCAGUUUGUUCUAAGUGUUUUCCUUGGAUGAACUGAUCAGGAAAUAGAUUUUCACAGUGGUGCCAGCUAAAUUUCUGUUGGCAAUUUAAAAUUGAAUCUCUUCGGCCUGUUUGUGGUGUGCAUGGUUUACCCUCUUUUUCUAGGACAAAAUGAGGCGUAGUUUUAGACACUUGAUUAACUAACAAUAGAGAAAGAAUGUCCCUGUGUCUGCACCUCUCAUUUCCACUCUUUGUACCCAUUGAACAACAUAUCUGCAAAUUCCAAAAAGUUGAGCCUUGCACUUAAGGGGACAAAAGUUCUGGACGCUUCAUCUCAUGAUGUGCAGAGAAAGAUUAAAAGAUAUUUCCCUCUAAAACCUCCAUCAUUUCGUCCUUCAGUUUGAUCAGACGGGCAGGGAGUGAUUAUUUGAUGGUAAGGAGUUCAUUGUGAAGCAGUCUGCACCCUGAAAGAGGGUGACAUUUCAGCUGUGUAAAUGGACCCGCUGAGUGAGCUAAAAUCAGUGUGGGGACAUUUACGCCUCAUUGGGACGGCUUGUCACUAAUCGAUCUGCUCAACAUAAAUUGGCCUUGUUGUUUUUGUGUGUUGUGGG
Long non-coding RNA from Melanotaenia boesemani (Boeseman's rainbowfish), 3159 nucleotides. RefSeq lists it as uncharacterized. Lineage: Eukaryota; Metazoa; Chordata; Actinopteri; Atheriniformes; Melanotaeniidae. The record is from RefSeq and is a predicted model, not a curated record. The transcript has 2 exons.